RNAcentral lists this ribosomal RNA (174 nucleotides) under Triticum aestivum (bread wheat). RNAcentral describes it as "partial small subunit ribosomal RNA". The record is from RNAcentral. Lineage: Eukaryota; Viridiplantae; Streptophyta; Magnoliopsida; Poales; Poaceae.
AUGGGGAAGGCAAAGCGUGCUUCCAUAUUUAUCAGGCUCGUUUCAGCAGCUGGGACUGGUUUUUUCUAUGUGAAGCGCAAGAAUCCUCGGCGGAUUACAGAGAAGCUUGAGUUCAGGAAGUAUGAUCCUCGUGUAAACAAGCAUGUUCUAUUUACGGAAGCCAAGAUGAAGUGA